AGAGUUUGAUCCUGGCUCAGAUUGAACGCUGGCGGCGUGCUUAACACAUGCAAGUCGAGCGGUAACAGGUGUAGCAAUACAUGCUGACGAGCGGCGAACGGGUGAGUAAUGCUUCGGAAUCUACCCAAUGGCGGGGAAUAACUAGCCGAAAGGUUAGCUAAUACCGCAUAAGCCCUACGGGGGAAAGCAGGGGAUCGUAAGACCUUGCACCGAUGGAUGAGCCGAAGUCGGAUUAGCUAGUUGGUAGGGUAACGGCCUACCAAGGCGACGAUCCGUAGCUGGUCUGAGAGGACGACCAGCCACACUGGGACUGAGACACGGCCCAGACUCCUACGGGAGGCAGCAGUGGGGAAUAUUGGACAAUGGGGGAAACCCUGAUCCAGCGACGCCGCGUGUGUGAAGAAGGCCUGCGGGUUGUAAAGCACUUUUAGUGGGGAAGAAAUGUUCAGGGUUAAUACCCCUGGAUCUUGACGUAACCCAAAGAAAAAGCACCGGCUAACUCUGUGCCAGCAGCCGCGGUAAUACAGAGGGUGCAAGCGUUAAUCGGAAUUACUGGGCGUAAAGCGUGCGUAGACGGUUAUGUAAGUCGGGUGUGAAAGCCCUGGGCUCAACCUGGGAAUUGCAUUCGAGACUGGAUAGCUAGGGUACGGAAGAGGGAAGCGGAAUUUCAGGUGUAGCGGUGAAAUGCGUAGAUAUCUGAAGGAACACCAGUGGCGAAAGCGGCUUCCUGGUCCAGUACCGACGUUCAGGCACGAAAGCGUGGGGAGCAAACAGGAUUAGAUACCCUAGUAGUCC
This 795-nucleotide ribosomal RNA is filed under the name uncultured bacterium. RNAcentral describes it as "bacterial SSU rRNA". It matches the Rfam family "Bacterial small subunit ribosomal RNA", at positions 8 to 796 of the family's 1533-position model. The record is from RNAcentral.